Molecule: RNA transcript, 2241 nt
Organism: Stegostoma tigrinum
Lineage: Eukaryota; Metazoa; Chordata; Chondrichthyes; Orectolobiformes; Stegostomatidae
Gene name: coatomer subunit zeta-1-like
Exons: 11
Source: RefSeq, a predicted model, not a curated record
GGACCUGGAGCUAAGUGGUUGCUCUUCCCUUCCCUCCCCUGGCGCCACCAUGACUUGCAGAUUUUUUUUCCCGCUCCGGGGAGGGACAGACCGAGGCGCAUGUGUGCUGGCGAUGGGCUCCGCGAAGCUGAGGACCGAGCUGCUGCCAUGUGAUUUGAGGUGUUGGCCAGGAAGGAGGCCAUGUUGGAAGGGGGAACUCAGGCUAUUAUUUUCAAUCUCCUGGGGAUGUUUUGGAUUCUGCACAGAAUUGUAAGGUUAAUCACCGGAAAUGGUGCUCUGAGCAGAAACAGAUUCUACAGUAUCCUGAUACAUUGAAAUAAGCGCGAUACUGAAGAUCUGAAAGAAAAGCAGAAAUUGCUGGAGAAACUCAGCAAGUCUGGUAGCAUUUGUGGAGAGAGGAGCAGCUAGUGUUUACAGUCCAGCGACCCUUCUUCGGAACGGAUACUUUUUAGCCUCUAAAAAAUCUUCAGAUAUGGAUAUGAACAUCACUGACUGGACCAGCACUUACUGCCCAUGACUAAAUUCCCAGAGUGCAGUGGGUCUGGAGUCACAUGUAGACCAGACAAGGAGCCGUCCCUCUACACCGUCAAAGCAGUCAUCAUCCUGGACAAUGAUGGGGAACGUCUGCAUGCCAAGUAUUAUGAUGAUGCCUAUCCUUCCACCAAGGAACAGAGGAAUUUUGAAAAGAAUAUUUUUAGCAAGACACAUAAAAGUGAUAGUGACAUUGCAUUCCUGGAAGGAUUGACCAUCAUCUAUAAAAGUUCUGUUGAUCUGUACUUUUACAUCGUGGGGAACUCCCAGGAAAAUGAGCUCAUGUUAAUGGCCGUUCUCAAUUGCCUGUUCGACUCUUUGAGCCAAAUGUUACGGAAAAAUGUGGAAAAGAAAUCUCUGAUGGAGAAUAUGGAUGGGCUCCUCCUUAUCUUGGAUGAGGUUGUGGAUGGCGGGGUCAUUCUGGAGAGUGAUCCUCAACAGGUCAUUCAGAAAGUGAAUUUCAGGGCAGAUUCUGAAUCAGCCUAUGGCUUUGUUCUGUUUGACUAUCUGACGAGCAGUGGGAACAGUGGGGACCAAGCCCACCGGCCUCUGAACUAACAGCAGCUAGAGCAGGUUGAUGAUACUCCUUUAACAGAGCAAAGUAUGGCACAGGUCCUUCAGUCAGCAAAGGAUCAGAUUAAAUGGUCGCUGCUAAAAUGAAGCAGGAAUCUUACCUUUUUUCUAGCUACCAUUUUUCUGCCCUUCCCAACUUGUCCAACAAAUCCAGAUCCAAACCAUGGCACAUGCAUGCAAGAGAUGGCAUCCUGGAUCACAACCCCUUCUCUACAUCUGACUGCUGGAUGAUACUCCCUGCUAUAUAAAUACAACUGCAGGAUGUCCUGAAGUAUGUUACAGCCAAUGAAGUUUAUUGUGGAAGCAUAGUUUCUGUUGUAAUACAGGAAAUAAGACUGCAAGUUAACACACAGUCAGAUCCCACAGUGUGAUAAAUGAUGUGAUCCUCUGUUAUGGGCUGGUCUCUUUAUUUGUUUUGUGGUGUGGGGGAUGUGGGAAAGAUUUUAUAGCCUGAAUUCUGGGCAAAUAGAAUGAGGUUUGCAAUUUUUGGAUUAGCAGCAGCUCUCCCCUCCCACCCCCCCACCAACCCCAUCUCCCGAAACACUUUUUUUUGUGUGGUUUUUUUUUGUUUUUACAGAUUUAUUUGUUCCUGGGGUAGACAGAGAUGCCUUCCCAUUCAAUAAAUGCUGUAAACACUACUCCAGUGUAGCAGUGGCAUGUGUGAAUCUAUAUCGCCCACCUCUGAGACUUGACCAGUCACUGUAAAUAACAUGGGUUUUACUUUUAAGGCUGACAGAUCUCUUGCAGAGCCUAAACCAAGCAGCAGCAAGUAUUCUAGAUCUCUGUCGGGUUGUUGAUCCCCAGAGAGUGAAGAGAACUUCAGUACCUUUCUCUGGGUCAAUGUAAUGUACACACUAAGCUUACAUAAGCAUCUGCCCAGGAGCCUUGAAACUCUGAGAUGGGUUGUGGCCUCUUUUACCAAAUGGAUACUGUAGUGAUUGUAACAGUCAGCCAGAUGGACUCCAAGGAAUGAAUUCCCUGAUUGGGGCUGUUAAUCUGUUCUAAUAAGGGAGCCCUGGCUGACAGAUAUAAACAGGAGAGUCAGGCAUCCUGAUCACUCUGGGAGCUGGCUCUUAGGGAGCUGGAUCAGUGUCAAUGACUUUCCACAUGUAAAUAAAGGUUGAUGUUGUGACAGGA